Molecule: long non-coding RNA, 207 nt
Filed under: Lathyrus oleraceus (garden pea)
Lineage: Eukaryota; Viridiplantae; Streptophyta; Magnoliopsida; Fabales; Fabaceae
Description: Pisum sativum (pea) long non-coding RNA (PSAT_LNC027400)
Source: RNAcentral
GCAACUAGUAAACACAUUAAAGACACAUGUGCUUCUUCUCCCCCUCAGUCUGCUCAACACAAACAUCUCCUUCAACAACACCUGUAACAUACACCUCCCCAUCUGACAUCACCUUCAACAUCACCUGUACUACCCAAAAUAUCCUUUUCAACAUCAUCUGUCAUUUGUUUAUAGCAUAGCUACUUUAGCUACAACUCCUUUAGCUAC